AGACGUAUCGGUAGUCCUGAGCACUAGUGGUUCAUUUAAACACCUUGCUUCUACACGGUGGUUAAAGUUUACCCAGCCAGCAGCACUCUAACAAAGACCCUGCUGUUACUCCCCUAUGCAGAGAAGGCCUGCAGGAACUAGCGCUAUAGCCUCAGAAAACUACUGGAUACUGCCAUGGUUGGUAAAAACAACAUGAGAAACUCUAGGCCUGCAUGUAACUGUCCACCUGCCUUGGGGAUGGAGACAGGCCUGGUGUUCUGCUGUGGGGAUAAGUGGUUGUCUUGUCUUUUUAUUUUUUUAUUAUUUAGCUGUGAAUAUCACCAUGACUUUGGCCUGAACCACCUCAGAAGAUGAGUGUAACAGAUGGAUUGUGCAAAUACAGUGGCUCGUCACUGGUCCAGAGCCUGGCUGUGUGGUCCCACUUCCCCGGGGCUUUGGCCACUGACCAGAGUGUCCUGUCGCAGCCGUCCUCCCGGCCCCAGGCCCAUGUCUUGGUCAGCUCACUGCCCAAGAUGUCCCUCUGUCCCCUGAGGUCCAGCUAGCAGUCUGACCCCUCGACAGACACCCCUGGAGCCAAGACCCAACCGGCCGACGUCACUCGGCUAACAUCAGCAAACCAGCUUAUCGCGCCUGCAUCGUACACUCCUGUCCAAUCCCAUGCAUUGGUCAAGAACCAGCUGCACUGUCCUCCCAGUCACAAGGGGGCGCCCCAUCAGCACAUCAUCCAGCAGACCACAGCAGGAUCCCACUGGCAGCUGCACCCCAUCGCCCUGGCUUCCCCCUUUCUCCCUAACUCUGACGUGUUAGUCGUCAGAGAGGCCCUGUAGCCGUUCCUCCCGGUACCAUUCCCGGUGGGCCGUUCGUCUUUAGGGGCAGAGCAGCAGACCACGCUUCCUGAAGCCUGGGAGGUGAGAACCAAUGGGGACCUGGCUCCUGAGAUGAGACCCAAUGGGGGUCUAGCAUCUGAGAUGAGAACCAAUAGGGAUGCAGAGCUAGAGAGCCUGGUUGAUGCUGAGCAGCCAGACAACUCCAGUGACUCAGACCUGAGUGAUGAUGAGGAUGAUAUCCUCACCCUGGACGGUGUGUGUGGUGUGUGAAUACCUGCGAGCAUGCGAGUGUGUCCAUCCGUCCAUGUGUCUGUCCAUCCUAACAGUGUGUCCUCUCCUGCUGUACUGUAGAGCCUGAUGCUGAGGGCCUGGUAGACAUGCUGCAGUGUGAGUUCUGUGGGAAGAGAGACUACGUUCACACCUCCGAUCCAAACGAUUCUGCUCCUUGACCUGUGUCAGGUUCAAUGUGAGCUGUACUAAGCAUCUGAGCGAGUUGAAGGUGGACAAGGCCAGUCAUUGGGGCCACAGGCCGAUGGGCAGGAGAGGACGACCCCCGGGGAGGAUCAACGGGGGCUCCAGAGAACACUUCCUCCUUAGACAGGUCCGAAGUCACAGCCUGUCCGUACGCUUAGCCAACUCCUAUGAUCAUUGAUAAUGCCAAUCAUGAUGAAGUGGCCCUACGGCUCUGAUGAGGCCCAGAGAAGGUUGAGGGGAGAGGGGGAAGAGGAGGAAGAAGAGCCCCCUGUCCCCAUGAUCACCAGGCUGCAUCGGCAUGAAGAGAGGGAGAGAAGAGAGAGGGUGACAGAGAGGGCGAGAGCAGGGAGGAGAGAGACGUUCAGUCCCUCUUAUGGACAGAUCGCAGGAAAAGACUGUAGUGAAAAUCCAACACAGUGGAGUGUGGAACAAGUCUGCUCCAGAUCAACUCUCUACCAGGUAGGCGGGACAUAUCCAAUGAGUUACGUUCCCAGGAGAUUGACGGCCAGGCCCUCCUAUUGCUGACAGAGAACCACUUGAUGACAGCUAUGAAUAUCAAAACUAGGCCCCGCCCUCAAACUCUGUGCCCACAUCAAAUCUCUGAAGGAACCAUGAGCACAGGAAAUGAGCAUCUCAAAUGGCACCCUAUUCCCUAUAUAGUUGUUGACCAGGGCUCUAUCUGGACAAAAGUAGUGCACUAUAUAGGAGAUAGGGUGCCAUUUGGUAUGCGAACGAGAGGACCACCCUUAUUGGACUUUAAAGACAUUGGAUUCCAGGAGGAUUUGAGACACACACAUACUCGCUCUCCGGCUUUCAACUCAGUGAGAAGCAGCUAAUUAACUGUUUUUCAUCAGUGUAUCACCAUAGUGGUUGUAGCAAUAUGGCUAAAGGUGGCAUUUUCUGUGUAUUACAUUCAAAGCACUGUACAUGCUGUUUAAACUUAAAGAAUUAUAUUGAAAUGUUUUGCCAAAAUGUUGGUAGUCUCUGAAGGCUGUUUUCCAAGCCUGAGACGAGUUGGUAUUUUACAAUGACACAGAUUGACUGGAGUUGCAUGAGGAAAUCCACCAACACCUGUAGCAUAGCAACCAGAAAGUGUCUUGUGAAUUCCAUGAUUGAUGAGACAUUAGACAAGCAACAUAUUUUUUUGUAGUUAUAAAUAUAUAAAUAAAAUCCAU
Molecule: long non-coding RNA, 2476 nt
Organism: Salvelinus namaycush (lake trout)
Lineage: Eukaryota; Metazoa; Chordata; Actinopteri; Salmoniformes; Salmonidae
Exons: 7
Source: RefSeq, a predicted model, not a curated record